Long non-coding RNA from Suricata suricatta (meerkat), 287 nucleotides. RefSeq lists it as uncharacterized. The record is from RefSeq and is a predicted model, not a curated record. The transcript is spliced from 3 exons. Lineage: Eukaryota; Metazoa; Chordata; Mammalia; Carnivora; Herpestidae.
GACACAUAGUCAUUGGUAGUGGAGGUGUGUUAGCUGACUGACCUCUGUGCCCAGACGGACAAAACCAAAAUACACACUGAACAACAAUAAGCACCAUCUGCAUAAAAUAUCAGAGAAAGAAAUCUUAAAUCAGCCCCAAAUCCAGGUUCUCAUUCCCACUUUUGUGUCAAUGAAGAGAACAGAAAUGAGAAAAACGGAUAUCCCACCUCCCCACAAAUAUAGACUGAGGGAAUACCCAUCAUCAAAGCCACAACUGCUCCAUUCAAGCAUGAAAAUCCUGAACUUGA